This is a non-coding RNA of Vicugna pacos (alpaca), 768 nucleotides long. The record is from RefSeq and is a predicted model, not a curated record. NCBI's taxonomy places the organism in Eukaryota, Metazoa, Chordata, Mammalia, Artiodactyla, Camelidae.
CUUAUUAAAACCAGGCACUGAAGAUAUCAAUCAGCGUGACCUGACCAGUCCCUGCACUCAAGGAACUCAUGGGUCCAGGUGCCAUGGGCACUUCCCGCUUCCUAAAGGCUUUGGAAGAGACAUUCUCACAGCCCCUACAGGUUUUCAAAUGGAAAUACUGCUUAAAUAAGGAUUAAAGACACAUACGAAACUCAGAUAAAAUAUUUACAAUAUAUAGGACCAGUUAAAAAUGCUUGCUAGGCACAGCACCUGGAUCAAGAUUACCCAUCACAAUUCAGAGUCCUUACCAUGUGUCUGGGAGAGAGCUAAACGCUGGGGAUACUGAUUAACCAUGACGUGGUGCUUGGCCUUCUGGAGGUCACUGUCUAAUGGACAGAACGAAGGGACAGAGAAAAAAAGAAAGCAUAAAAACACUGAAAAAUUGGAGCCUUUCAGCUUCUACGCCUUUCAAGGUACUGUACAGUACAGCACAAUGGAAAAAAGGAAGAAAAUGCAGUCCGCUCCAGGCCGAAUCACGGGUUCCUUACAUGUCUUUCUUCCCUGUACAAUUUUGAGCUCUUUUGAGCCCUAUGAUUUUUUUAUUUUUAUUUUUAAAAUUUUUUGUUGUGAUACUAGCACAAUGCAGAGCACACAGUAAGGCCGCAGUGAAGGAAUCCCACACUUUGGAGGUCCACUUUAUCUACAAGGGCAAGUUUUAUUUUGUUUUCCCUUUUUUAAUGAGUAAGUGACAUAGUCACUAAGUGGAAAACAGGUCUUCUCUAAGGGAAC